GACGAACGCUGGCGGCGUGCUUAACACAUGCAAGUCGAACGGAAAGGCCCUGCUUUUGUGGGGUGCUCGAGUGGCGAACGGGUGAGUAACACGUGAGUAACCUGCCCUUGACUUUGGGAUAACUUCAGGAAACUGGGGCUAAUACCGGAUAGGAGCUCCUGCUGCAUGGUGGGGGUUGGAAAGUUUCGGCGGUUGGGGAUGGACUCGCGGCUUAUCAGCUUGUUUGUGGGGUAGUGGCUUACCAAGGCUUUGACGGGUAGACGACCUGAGAGGGUGACCGGCAAAAUUGGGACUGAGAUACGGCCCAGACUCCUACGGGAGGCAGCAGUGGGGAAUAUUGCACAAUGGGCGGAAGCAUGAUGAAGAAACGCCGCGUGCGGGAUGACGGCCUUCGGGGUGUAAACAGAUUUAGACUGUGAAGAAGAGUGAGUGACGGUAAUGGGUAAAGAAGCACCGGCUAACUACGUG
This 468-nucleotide ribosomal RNA is filed under the name uncultured bacterium. Its description in RNAcentral is "partial 16S ribosomal RNA". It matches the Rfam family "Bacterial small subunit ribosomal RNA", at positions 28 to 507 of the family's 1533-position model. The record is from RNAcentral.